CCCUUAGAUGUUCUGGGCCGCACGCGCGCUACACUGAUGCAUUCAACGAGUCUAAAACCUGGUCUGAGAGGGCUGGGUAAUCUUUUGAAAGUGCAUCGUGAUUGGGAUAGAUGAUUGCAAUUCUUCAUCUUCAACGAGGAAUGCCUAGUAAACGCAAGUCAUCAGCUUGCAUUGAUUACGUCCCUGCCCUUUGUACACACCGCCCGUCGCUACUACUGAUUGGAUGUUUAAGCGAGGUUCUCGAACUGCUAGCGACUUAGCUUCGGUGAGGUCGCAGUGUGGGAAGUGAACCUAGCUUUGGUGUCUAGAGGAAGUAAAAGUCGUAACA
This 328-nucleotide ribosomal RNA is filed under the name uncultured eukaryote. RNAcentral's name for it is "partial 18S ribosomal RNA". It matches the Rfam family "Eukaryotic small subunit ribosomal RNA", at positions 1470 to 1796 of the family's 1831-position model. The record is from RNAcentral.